RNAcentral lists this ribosomal RNA (267 nucleotides) under uncultured bacterium. RNAcentral describes it as "partial 16S ribosomal RNA". It matches the Rfam family "Bacterial small subunit ribosomal RNA", at positions 793 to 1055 of the family's 1533-position model. The record is from RNAcentral.
GUCCUGGCAGUAAACGGUGCACGUUUGGUGUGGGAGGAUUCGACCCCUUCCGUGCCGGAGCUAACGCGUUAAACGUGCCGCCUGGGGAGUACGGUCGCAAGAUUAAAACUCAAAGAAAUUGACGGGGGCCCGCACAAGCGGUGGAGUAUGUGGCCUAAUUCGAUGCAACGCGAAGAACCUUACCUAGCCUUGACAUGCAUCUCUAAGGCGGUGAAAGCCGUCGAGUGUAGCAAUACACAAUUUGCACAGGUGCUGCAUGGCUGUCGU